GACGAACGCUGGCGGCGUGCCUAAUACAUGCAAGUAGAACGCACAGUUUACACCGUAGCUUGCUCCACCAUAGACUGUGAGUUGCGAACGGGUGAGUAACGCGUAGGUAACCUGCCUGGUAGCGGGGGAUAACUAUUGGAAACGAUAGCUAAUACCGCAUAAUAUUGAUUAUUGCAUGAUAAUUGAUUGAAAGAUGCUAUUGCAUCACUACCAGAUGGACCUGCGUUGUAUUAGCUAGUAGGUGAGGUAACGGCUCACCUAGGCGACGAUACAUAGCCGACCUGAGAGGGUGAUCGGCCACACUGGGACUGAGACACGGCCCAGACUCCUACGGGAGGCAGCAGUAGGGAAUCUUUGGCAAUGGACGAAAGUCUGACCGAGCAACGCCGCGUGAGUGAAGAAGGUUUUCGGAUCGUAAAGCUCUGUUGUAAGAGAAGAACGGGUGAGAGAGUGGAAAGUUCACACUGUGACGGUAUCUUACCAGAAAGGGACGGCUAACUACGUG
RNAcentral lists this ribosomal RNA (505 nucleotides) under uncultured bacterium. RNAcentral describes it as "partial 16S ribosomal RNA". It matches the Rfam family "Bacterial small subunit ribosomal RNA", at positions 28 to 507 of the family's 1533-position model. The record is from RNAcentral.